This 467-nucleotide ribosomal RNA is filed under the name uncultured bacterium. RNAcentral describes it as "partial 16S ribosomal RNA". It matches the Rfam family "Bacterial small subunit ribosomal RNA", at positions 28 to 507 of the family's 1533-position model. The record is from RNAcentral.
GAUGAACGCUGGCGGCGUGCUUAACACAUGCAAGUCGAACGAUGAUGCCCAGCUUGCUGGGUGGAUUAGUGGCGAACGGGUGAGUAACACGUGAGUAACCUGCCCUUGACUCUGGGAUAAGCCUGGGAAACUGGGUCUAAUACCGGAUACGACCAUCUGGCGCAUGUCAUGGUGGUGGAAAGCUUUUGUGGUUUUGGAUGGACUCGCGGCCUAUCAGCUUGUUGGUGGGGUAAUGGCUUACCAGGGCGACGACGGGUAGCCGGCCGGAGAGGGGGACCGGCACACCGGGGACAGUACUACGGCAGGCAGCACUGGGGGAGAGAGGAGGGGGGAAGGAGGACUGAUGGGGCCAAGCCGGGUGCAGGAGGGCGGCGUGAGGGAUGGUGGACUGCGGUUGGAAGGCAAGUUUAAGGAGGAAGGGUACUUUGAUGACGGUACCUUACGAAGAAGCGCCGGCUAACUCCGUG